Long non-coding RNA from Brassica rapa (field mustard), 6064 nucleotides. RefSeq lists it as uncharacterized. The record is from RefSeq and is a predicted model, not a curated record. NCBI's taxonomy places the organism in Eukaryota, Viridiplantae, Streptophyta, Magnoliopsida, Brassicales, Brassicaceae.
UCUCUCUCGCUCUCCCCAGUCUUCUGAAUUGAUAUGACAGAAUAUGAGUCGAAGCCGACGACGGGGGUGUGGUGGGACAUCAACACGUGUCCGGUUCCCGAAGGUUACGACCCUCGUCAUGUCCGUCCGAGUAUAGAAGCGGCGUUGUUCAAAUUGAUGGGUCCUCAUCCAGUGGUCAUCUAUUGCAUAGGCAACCUAAAAUACAUCUCUCGUAGCCUCUUGGAAGAGAUCUCUUCCUCUGGAAUCCGUUUUAAACACACCCCCUUCGGUUGGUUAAUCUCUCUUUUUUUUCUAUCAUAAUUAAUUAAUGCAUAGACUCAGUGCCGGUCCGGACUCGUGUGGAGCCUAAAGCAGACAACAAAAAUGCUGCCGUUUAACCAUAAUUAAAUUUUACUAUAUUUUAAACAUAUAACCACAAUAAUACCAAAUAUUAUUAAAACAAGUUUUUAAAAUAAAAACAUCGAAACAUUAUCUGCAACUCAUCUCGUAAGUUUGUUCUCUUUAUGUUUACAGUUUCACUUUGUUAAUUUUAUUUUUUGAUAACUUUCUUACAAAUUCUUAAAACAAAAAAAUAUAAAUUUAUAAAAUAGAGCAAAACAUAUUAUAAAUCACUUUAACAUCAAUUUCACUUUAUAAAUUUUAAUUGAGAUUUCAUAGAGUUUCGUUGAAUAUUAUAGAACCUAUGAUAAUUUUAGGUGUUUGAAUUUCAAAAAAAUUCAAAAACUUUAGAAAAGAAUAAAAUAAGAAAUAAUAAAAAUGCAUCUAUUCCUACUAUAACCAAUCACAAUUUUAUUGUGGAAUAUGAACAAUCUAUAAUUCAAGUUAAUUAUUAUAAUAUUUCUUGUUCAUACAUUUAUUCUAGCAAAUAUUAACCGACAUAGAUAGAUAAGAAAAACUGGGAAAAAUGCCUUGAUAAAGUAGAUUAGUUUUAAAUAAAUUUCUUAUCUAGUAAUAUACCAUUGACUGUAACACAUAAGAAAAGAAAGUAGAAAUGUUCAGUCAAGAAAAGAAAACUAAUGAUGCUAGAAAAAGUAACAAAAUCCUUAGUAUAUAUAAAAAAGGAAAGUUUUUAUUAACAAUAAAAAAAAAGAGAGGGACGCUGGUGUCGAACCCGACAGCAGUAGGAAGAAAGACAAGCCUCCAAGGUCACUAGACCAAGGCGAAGCAUCUGAUAAAUAGUGCCCCUAAAUAUUUUAUAUUCUUUGGCGCCCAAAGCCUUUGCUUUAUGGGCUUUAGCCCAGAGCCGGCCCUGCAUAGACUCAUCCGUAUUUUCCAAGUGGGGUUGAAUUUAUCCGCCUUUUGAGAACUUGGCGUAUUGAACCUGGACAUCCAUCUACAGUAUUUCUCAUAUCCGGUGAUGAAUCAUGGUAUACUUACAGAUCAGCCUGGGCGGGAUUCAGUUGGCUUCGUGCAUAUCCAGGUCCUGAGCCACUAUCAACUAAAGAUGAUUGUUCUUCCGAAAAGUGGCUCUGGAAAGACUUACUUGAAGAGACUUGUGAAGAGACUCCUCUUAAGAUACGGAGCAGGAUACUUGAGUAUGAAAUGCCCUUUUUUUGCCGAGUAUGCACGUUUCAUUUCUCGAGCUUUGAUGUUUUCAUCAGCCAUCUUAAGAGUAGACAACACAAAAAGGAGGUAUGCCUCCUCCUACUCUCAGCUUUGUAUCAUUUACAUUUGCUAACCAAUAGUAUGAUAAUAAUUUCGGUUUGGUUAGCAGUUGCUUCUCAGUGUGGUUCCUUUUUACUACAUUUACAAUUAUCCUGACAAUACUUGCACACUUUGCGAGUAUCCAUAUUACAACGAUGCUAAUAGGAAGCUCCACUUGGAAAGUGAUGAACACAAAGUAAGCACCCUUGCCUCCCUCCUAGUCACAACUAGUAUCAUUACAUUUUUUUAUUGUAAGAUAACAUCUUGGUAUCAAAAUUUGACUCCCAUCUUUUCUUUUUUUUUAUGUGUUGGCUGAGCAGGCCGCCGCCGCCGCAAGUGUCUCUCAUGUGACAGAGGCUGUAGGAACCUUAUUUUACUACCAUAGGACAACUGAUAUUUGUAAAGAAUAAUAAGAACAUAAACUAAAAUUUCAAUACCAAAAUAUAAAAAUAAAGAAGAAUUGCAGAGUCGAGAUAGUUAAUCUCUUUCCUUAAAUCUUUAAACGCCCGUAGUGUGAUGGUUUUAUGGCGCUCAGAUUCCCAAGAUACAACUGCAGCAUUGUUUCUGUUUACCAUCACCGAAAAACAGAAUCUAUCGAACCUAUUUCUGUGAUGUACUCUCAGACUCAAAAUUAAAAAAAUACUAUCAUAACUAUUCUGAGUGGAGAAAUGUUUCUUGAUUGUAUGAAUGUGUGUUUUUCUAAAUGGCUCACAAGCCUUUAUAUAGAAAAUAAUGAGAAGCACAAGUUUCAUUUUUCAACACAAAAAUGAAACAUCCAUGGUGCACUAAUGAAGUUUUUAAUUCUUGUCAUUAUUAUGUGAAUUUAUUUCACAUUUUGACCAAGAAAUUAAAGAGUAAAAUUAUUAUUGUUUUGACCAAUUCAAACAAAAUAAUAUACUUUAAAAUGGAUUUCUUUUUUAUAUUUUAUCAAUAUAAAAGAUCAACAUAUAUUUGGUUUAUAAGAUUAAGUCAAUGAACAUGAAGUCCAACUAACAAAUCACAAAACCCAAAUUCAAGUUCAAAUAUCCAAUGUGUGUAUUUGCUACUUUAUACAAGUUUCUCAAAUCACACACAUUAGACCUCCAUUUCUCAUUCAAAUAAAAUUUCUUUUUUGACAUAUGAAUACAUUAUUCAUAAUGUUCAAAAAAUAGUUCCAACAAUCCCCCACAUGAAUAGAAAUGACUCUAUACACUAGACGACUCGACAUAGUUUCUAGACAAGACUCAACUUCCUAGACAAGACUCGACAAGACCUAACUAAGGACUUUUGAGAGUACAAACGAAAAAUCCACUGCAUGAUGAGUUGGUAGCAAUUUUUCAGCCUUGAACCAGUCAUUGUUAAUAGCUAUCGGAUUUACUCGGCCAGGAGGUGGCCAUGAUGUCUUGAACCUCCCGGGCUUUGGUGUAAACCUAGACAAUAGCUAUAACACAGCUUCAUUCUCUCACAGAACUAAGUUCUCUAUUGUGUUCAUUUUGGCCGUGAACAGUCUUGGUUAAUCAUGAGUGAACUUGGAGAAUAUAGUAUUUCCUUCAUUCUCCUAGAAACGGCCCCAUUUCACACUCACAAGGUGAUUUGCCAUUAACUUUGUUUAGAGGAGUAUCAUGUACUACUCCAUUCAUAUCUCAAAGCUAUGGACACAAAUCAUUAAAAGCAAAUGCUUAUCCUAUAAUCCUUACAUGUAGCACUGUUUAAUCAUCAUAGGAACUGGGUAUAGACCGAAGUCUUACAGUGCUUUGGGCAGAUUUAGUUUGACUUAGUUGUCUCCUUGAACCUAUUUCUUGGGAUCUCCAGUCAGUUAGGUAGAGUUACCGCCAAACUUCAUCUUAAUUCACAGGCUACCCAUUCCUUUAGAUGAUAUAACAACUUGAUCUCAUGACACACCUUUAAUUAAAGGAUCCUAGGUUGCCAUCACAGUGAACAUAAUUUCCUGAGAUUAGUCGAGAUCAAUUGUCUAAUGAUUUUUGUCAUCUUUUAUUCAAGAUACAAUUAAUCAUUAUACACAAAGCUUAGUGUAUGACACUAGUUUUUUUUCUUUAAAAAAAAAAUUAUAUUGUGAUAACUAUCACUAAGUUCAAACUUUAUAUGGUAUGCAAAAUUCCCCCACAUUUCUUGAGAUAACUCAAAAUUAUGCAUAUUAUUUACAUUUAACAUCUCUUAAGAGUUUAGAAAAUUAAUCUACAACUCUUUUAGAUUUAAAUGUUAAAAUUUUCUUUUUGAUGUAUUUCAUUCUCAGAAAUCACAUUUUACAUACAACUAUUUUCAUAGUUCUCUCAAGUUGAUUUAUAAAUCUAACUUGUAUGUUUUGGAUCUUUUCCAAAUACAUAUUUUGCUUCUUCUUCUUUUUUUAUAGAAAAUAUACAUAUCAUUAAAAGAUAUUAUUUUUGCCAUCAAAACCAAUUUUAUAUGAUUAUUCUCAACCAUAUUGACUUUAAAAACUACAAUACACAUGUCAGUUUUAGUCAUGUUGGUCUGAAAAUUCUCAUUGUUUUUGCAUUGUCAAUCUUUUUACAAAUUGCAUUUAAGCAUUGAUGAAAUAUAAAUGUUUUUGAUCAAUAUCAACAAACAUUUUAUUUCCUAUGGCAAAUGAUUUAUAUGUGGCAGACCUCUUUCAAACUUAAUUUGGAACGUCGACUCACAAAAAUUCAUUUCCAUUCAUAUAAUAUGAUCCCUUAAGAACCAGAAUAUUGGUACAUUUUACCAUACUUUGUACUUAAAUCAUUUUUCUUCUUUCAUGGUCAUCCAUGUGCGCUUAAUAAUUAAGUUACACCAUAAAGAGAAAAUCUGUAGCAAUAGAACAAACCCGUUAUUCAGUCUUGAUAAUCAAAUCAAACAAGUCAAAGCAUUAACACUUAUUUGACCAACUUAAAAAACAACAUUUUGACAAUUUAUUAAGAUACUAAAGGGAAAGCUCUUAAAUAUAAACCUUUAAAGCAAUUAAAAGAAAUUGCAAAACAUUAGAGCAUCAAACAUGGUCAAUACUAUGAACGAUGAUCAUGCUUGCUAAAGACAAAAGUUAAACACACGGAUUAACUAAUAAGCUGCAACUGGAAACAAUCUUUAAAAAAAAAUUAAUUCCCUGCAGAUUAGACACUCAGUCAACACCAAAAAGAAACAAGCAAUAUUCAGUUAUUCAAUUGAUAAUCAGAUGCGAACACUAAAGAUGACUGAACACGAUUAAUACUAGUAACCGAUUGUCUCUAAGUCGCAGAGAGAUUAUUUUGAAAUAAUUCAGCAGAUCCGAUUCGAGCAUCUUUUAACCUGUUCUUAAAAGAACAAGAACUUUUAACAAAUAUGAGUAUUGUUAGUGCAAAAGCAUAAACAAUAUUUAAAGAUUUAAGAGUGUAGAAACCUUAUUUUACUACCAUAAGACAACUGAUAUUUGUAAAGAAUAAUAAGAACAUAAACUAAAAUUUCAAUACCAAAAUAUAAAAAUAAAGAAGAAUUGCAGAGUCGAGAUAGUUAAUCUCUUUCCUUAAAUCUUUAAACGCCCCGUAGUGUGACGGUUUUAUGGCGUUCAGAUUUCCAAGAUACAACUGCAGCAUUGUUUCUGUUUACCAUCACCGAAAAACAGAAUCUAUCGAACCUAUUUCUGUGAUGUACUCUCAGACUCAAAAUUAAAAAAAUACUAUCAUAACUAUUCUGAGUGGAGAAAUGUUUCUUGAUUGUAUGAAUGUGUGUUUUUCUAAAUGGCUCACAAGCCUUUAUAUAGAAAAUAAUGAGAAGCACAAGUUUCAUUUUUCAACACAAAAAUGAAACCUCCAUGGUGCACUAAUGAAGUUUUUAAUUCUUGUCAUUAUUAUGUGAAUUUAUUUCACAUUUUGACCAAGAAAUUAAAGAGUAAAAUUAUUAUUGUUUUGACCAAUUCAAACAAAAUAAUAUACUUUAAAAUAGAUUUCUUUUUUAUAUUUUAUCAAUAUAAAAGAUCAACAUAUAUUUGGUUUAUAAGAUUAAGUCAAUGAACAUGAAGUCCAACUAACAAAUCAAAAAACCCAAAUCCAAGUUCAAAUAUCCAAUGUGUGUAUUUGUUACUUUAUACAAGUUUCUCAAAUCAUAACAUUUGAUCUCCAUUUCUCAUUCAAAUAAAAUUUAUUUUUUGACAUAUGAAUACAUUAUUCAUAAUGUUCAAAAAAUAGUUCCAACAGAGGCUUCCCUUGUCGAUCCACUUAACACAGGUCAAGAAAAGGAAGACGCCACCAGGAACAGAACUUCAGAAGAGCCUCUCUCGAAAGAGACUAAUUAAGAAGAAUAAUUAGUAAGGAACUAGACGAAGAAGAGUGCAUGCAUGGUCCUAUAUCGUGUUGCUCUUAAUCCUAAAAUAGUACUCUCUGCGUUUUUAUUUUAAUCGUCAGUUAAACUUCUGAUGCUUUUUUUCUACAUAUGGAGAUCGGAUAUAGUAUACCCUGUUGGUUUUGUUCCAUUA